AUUGGAGACGAACACCGAAGAUAAUAAUGAAGAUACAACGGAAGAUAACGAAGAACCUUAUACGUCGAUGCCUCUGGAGAAGCUUUCUUCACCUUCAAGCGAUAUUCAGGCCAUAUUACAUCUCAUUCCACAAUAUGCACAGAGUUUUUAUAACAAUCUUAUUAGUGAUGAUGCAAUAGAAGACCACAUAGAUGGACUAGACAAGGUGGAUUUCGAAAUCCAAUUUGAUGAUAACGUCGAAUAAACGUCCUCUAUAUGUAUUAUUUUAUAUAUCUUUUUAAUAAAAGCUUUAUUACGAUAUUAUAAA
Colias croceus (clouded yellow) is the source of this 307-nucleotide long non-coding RNA. RefSeq lists it as uncharacterized. The transcript is spliced from 2 exons. The record is from RefSeq and is a predicted model, not a curated record. NCBI's taxonomy places the organism in Eukaryota, Metazoa, Arthropoda, Insecta, Lepidoptera, Pieridae.